Long non-coding RNA from Hibiscus syriacus, 882 nucleotides. RefSeq lists it as uncharacterized. NCBI's taxonomy places the organism in Eukaryota, Viridiplantae, Streptophyta, Magnoliopsida, Malvales, Malvaceae. The transcript is spliced from 3 exons. The record is from RefSeq and is a predicted model, not a curated record.
UUUGGAACUGUGCUCUCGGGGAAGUUAUGGUGUAACAGCCAGGCCAUUUUCCCAAAAGGAUUGAAGAGCCGGGUUAGAUAUAUUAGUGUUUUAGAUCCGACAAAUAUGGCUUACUAUGUCUCGGAAAUUUUGGAUGCAGAGAGGGAUGAACCUCUGUUCAUGGUAUCGGUGGAGCACUAUCCCGGUGAAGUAUUCGUUCAUGUUUCAGCUGCCAGAUGCUGGGAGAUGGUGAGAGAGAGUGAAUCAAGAGAUAACGAAGCAACAUAGACAAGGGAAAACCAACCUCCCGCCAUUGCAGCCUCGAUGGCUUUGAGAUGUUUGGCUUUUCUUCACCCGAAAUUGUUCAGUUAAAUUAGUUAGUAGACUAUAUUUGGUUCCCUCGACCUCCAUUUCUCGUAUGCUUAACAGAUGAAGUAAAACUCAGCUAUCGUUUGCUUAACAUAAUAAACCAGGCCAUUGAGGCAAUGGAUCAAAAUCGAGUUUGUACCGAGUAUUGGGACUCUCGGUCUUAUGGCUGCAAGUGCAGUUUCUGCAACAUUCUCACCUCCCUGGUAAUGCGGGCAAUGUAGUUAGAACAUCCGGGGAACAAAACAAUGUAGGGCCUCCUCGGAACAUUUGCGUGUCCGGUGAAGUUGACACACUACUCAGAGUCUGUUCAAGAAGGCGAACUCUGAAGAAUUACACUCACUUUGUAGCAUUUUAAGUGAGAAAAGGCCAACUAUGGAUAUAGACCUUGUGACUCGACUCCUCGAGGAAGAGAUUCACAAUCGUCGUUGUAGAUGAUCGAAAAUAUUUUUGUUCAUUGGGAUCCAAGAUUCGGGAGCCCAUUUCCCACAUUUUUCAGCUCUGUACAUAUGGCACAUUGCAUGUACGGCUUUCAAU